AUUCCAUGAGUUGGGCACUACUGCAAGAGGUCCUUAAAUCUUUGCCAUAACUCAUAAAUGGUCUCACCCUCCAAUUGCUUGAAGGUUAAGAUGCCAUCCCUAAGAAU
Molecule: small nucleolar RNA, 107 nt
Organism: Solanum stenotomum
Lineage: Eukaryota; Viridiplantae; Streptophyta; Magnoliopsida; Solanales; Solanaceae
Source: RefSeq, a predicted model, not a curated record